Molecule: long non-coding RNA, 289 nt
Organism: Oncorhynchus masou masou (cherry salmon)
Lineage: Eukaryota; Metazoa; Chordata; Actinopteri; Salmoniformes; Salmonidae
Exons: 3
Source: RefSeq, a predicted model, not a curated record
CCCCAGUGGAUCCCACAGGAUCUACCGGUCAGAACAGCUCAACCUCACACCUGGCUCGUGUGGCCAUGGCUUCAACAUGUCGCUGGUUCAUGGAGACGCCCAGAACAGCCACAACCAAUCAGACAGCCCCUUCGGAGCCUUCAGCACCAGGCAGAGGAGACAUACCCAGAGCACCACCAAGUAUGUGGAGCUGAUCAUCGUAGCUGACAACAGAGAGUUCCAGAAACAAGGGAAGGAUGUGGAGAAGGUCAAACAGAGGCUGGCUGAGAUCGCCAAUUACGUGGACAAG